RNAcentral lists this ribosomal RNA (497 nucleotides) under uncultured bacterium. RNAcentral describes it as "partial 16S ribosomal RNA". It matches the Rfam family "Bacterial small subunit ribosomal RNA", at positions 28 to 507 of the family's 1533-position model. The record is from RNAcentral.
GAUGAACGCUGGCGGCGUGCCUAAUACAUGCAAGUCGAGCGAACGGACGAGAAGCUUGCUUCUCUGAUGUUAGCGGCGGACGGGUGAGUAACACGUGGAUAACCUACCUAUAAGACUGGGAUAAUUUCGGGAAACCGGAGCUAAUACCGGAUAAUAUUUUGAACCGCAUGGUUCAAAAGUAAAAGACGGUCUUGCUGUCACUUAUAGAUGGAUCCGCGCUGCAUUAGCUAGUUGGUAAGGUAACGGCUUACCAAGGCAACGAGGCAUAGCCGACCUGAGAGGGUGAUCGGCCACACUGGAACUGAGACACGGUCCAGACUCCUACGGGAGGCAGCAGUAGGGAAUCUUCCGCAAUGGGCGAAAGCCUGACGGAGCAACGCCGCGUGAGUGAUGAAGGUCUUCGGAUCGUAAAACUCUGUUAUUAGGGAAGAACAUAUGUGUAAGUAGCUGUGCACAGCUUGACGGUACCUAAUCAGAAAGCCACGGCUAACUACGUG